GGGGGGGGCGGGCGGGGGGCCGGGCGCGUGCGAGGCGGGCGGGGACAGGGGAGGGCUUGCUGUUUCGCUGACGAGUGGCGGACGGGGGGGUAAUGUCUGGGAAACUGCCUGAUGGAGGGGGAUACCUACUGGAAACGGUAGCUAAUACCGCAUAACGUCGCAAGACCAACGAGGGGGACCCUCGGGCCUCUUGCCCUCGGAUGUGCCCCGAUGGGCUUAGCUUGUUGGCGGGGUACCGGCUCACCCCGGCGACGAUCCCUAGCUGGUCUGAGAGGAGGACCAGCCACACUGGAACUGAGACACGAUCCAGACUCCUACGGGAGGCAGCAGUGGGGAAUAUUGCACAAUGGGCGCAAGCCUGAUGCAGCCAUGCCGCGUGUAUGAAGAAGGCCUUCGGGUUGUAAAGUACUUUCAGCGGGGAGGAAGGGAGUAAAGUUAAUACCUUUGCUCAUUGACGUUACCCGCAGAAGAAGCACCGGCUAACUCCGUG
RNAcentral lists this ribosomal RNA (490 nucleotides) under uncultured bacterium. RNAcentral's name for it is "partial 16S ribosomal RNA". It matches the Rfam family "Bacterial small subunit ribosomal RNA", at positions 35 to 507 of the family's 1533-position model. The record is from RNAcentral.